CUAAAAUCUCUUCUAGCUUAAUGGAAGUAUUGUCCAAAUGCCAAAACCACAACUCCAUAACUAUCCCUCAGGGGAAAUUAUACGUACCUUUAAAUUAUAGGAGACGAAUCCUAUCCUUGGUACACGACUCUAAGAUUGCCGGUCAUCCCGGUAUCCAUAAAACAGAAGCACUACUCGAAAAGCAAUUCUGGUGGCCUUCUUACAAGAAG
Pelobates cultripes (western spadefoot toad) is the source of this 209-nucleotide non-coding RNA. The record is from the annotation of a GenBank genome assembly. NCBI's taxonomy places the organism in Eukaryota, Metazoa, Chordata, Amphibia, Anura, Pelobatidae.